CCUGGUACUUGGAAUCAAAUCAAAACCAAACUCAAUCUUCUUAUCUGGUGGUAACCCUGGAAGUUCUUUUGGAAAAACAUCUGAAAACUUACAAACCACUAGGAUGUCUGCUAAAUUUGGCUUGCUUACUUUUGUAUUAACCACACAUGCUAGAUAGGCUUCACAUCCUUUUCUGAGUAGCUUACUAGCUAUUAAAGCUGAAAUCACAUGAGGGAAGUACACGAUGUUCACCCAAGAAACAUAUUUCUGCCAUCUGGGGUCUGAAAAAUCACUUCCUUUCUAAAACAAUCUAUUUUUGUUCG
Molecule: long non-coding RNA, 302 nt
Filed under: Elaeis guineensis (African oil palm)
Lineage: Eukaryota; Viridiplantae; Streptophyta; Magnoliopsida; Arecales; Arecaceae
Description: long non-coding RNA (EGUI_LNC015388)
Source: RNAcentral